RNAcentral lists this microRNA precursor (94 nucleotides) under Nematostella vectensis (starlet sea anemone). RNAcentral describes it as "microRNA nve-mir-2036 precursor". The record is from miRBase by way of RNAcentral. Lineage: Eukaryota; Metazoa; Cnidaria; Anthozoa; Actiniaria; Edwardsiidae.
AUAAGAGUCGUGCCAGGACCCGGUGAGAACGUACAGUAAGCACUUGACGAUGUAUAUUGUACGACUCUCAUCGUAUCCUGCACGGCAAUGAACA